Molecule: transfer RNA, 73 nt
Filed under: Coxiellaceae bacterium
Lineage: Bacteria; Pseudomonadati; Pseudomonadota; Gammaproteobacteria; Legionellales; Coxiellaceae
Description: tRNA-Glu
Rfam family: tRNA
About the family: Transfer RNA (tRNA) molecules are approximately 80 nucleotides in length. Their secondary structure includes four short double-helical elements and three loops (D, anti-codon, and T loops). Further hydrogen bonds mediate the characteristic L-shaped molecular structure. tRNAs have two regions of fundamental functional importance: the anti-codon, which is responsible for specific mRNA codon recognition, and the 3' end, to which the tRNAs corresponding amino acid is attached (by aminoacyl-tRNA synthetases). tRNAs cope with the degeneracy of the genetic code in two manners: having more than one tRNA (with a specific anti-codon) for a particular amino acid; and 'wobble' base-pairing, i.e. permitting non-standard base-pairing at the 3rd anti-codon position.
Source: RNAcentral
GUCCCCAUCGUCUAGAGGCCUAGGACACCGCCCUUUCACGGCGGCAACACGGGUUCGAAUCCCGUUGGGGAUG